Molecule: non-coding RNA, 2191 nt
Organism: Castor canadensis (American beaver)
Lineage: Eukaryota; Metazoa; Chordata; Mammalia; Rodentia; Castoridae
Source: RefSeq, a predicted model, not a curated record
UAAUGGUGUUGCAGUGUCUUCCUUCUUUUGUUUCUGUCCUUGCUAGGGCUCAAUCCGGCUUCAUCGCUCUUUUUGUGGGGCCGAGCCUGAGCAUGCGAAGCUGGGAGGCGGGUCCCUAAGUGAGCUCUCGGAGGCCGGGGCACUGUACGAGCGUUGGCGUGUGUGAUUCCAGAGGGGCUCGGAUGAGGAUGCGCCGAGUCUUAGUUCAUCGGACCCCUUUUCUGCCACCGUGAGGGGCACGAGCAAACGCGGAAUUAUACACUUGGAGGCAUCUGGAAAAGAUAUGUGGAUCUUGGAAGAUAGUCUGAAAUAUGUAGGAAAGGCAUAAAACAAGGGUGUUUUUCUUAGAGCAUCAUUUGUCAGAUUUAUUUGAUCAAGAAGUUGAAGAGUUACAUAAUAAGAGAUUAAUCUCAAUGUGACAAUUUACGAAAAGUGAUCAUCCAGAGAAGAAAUUGACCAACAAAGUGGCAAAGAAACAAAAAAAAAUUACAAUCUUGGAAGUAAAAUUGGAUGUGAUUAGAUUAGAAAAUGGUGACCACAAGGCAAAAGAUAGGUCAGAAGCGAGGCCUGCAGGAAUCUCUAGUUAUGAACAAUAUUGAAAGAGUCUGAUGAAGCAACUUUACCUUUUUAAAAAAAAAAAAAUUCAACAUCUUUUUUCCCCCUUUUGUUUAUUUUUACAUUAUUAAGCAUUACAGAUAAUGUCAGUGUAUUUUAGCUUAAAUUGUGCUAGGAACAGAGCAUCACUUACGGCUUUCUGUUGAAAUGGAAUAUUUACUUCUACUUUGGAUUGAAGAUUAUAAUCAAAAGCAAACUUCUGGUUUUCCAGAGCAUUGGUAUUUAUUGCUGCAUUGAAAGAAAGUGCUAAUUACAAAGAAACUAAAAAUGAACAUACUACUGCCAGUAAAGGCUAUGUAAGAAGUUGGCAUGUGUGCUGGAGGCAUGGCUUAAGCAGUAGAGUACCACCACCAGAAAAAAUCAGCAGGGACUGAUUAGUACUAAGCUGUCUGGUGAAGCUGCAAGCCCAGAGGAGGACGCUACUGUGAAGUUUGCACUCAGAUUCCAAGAUAUAGGCAGUUCUUGCUUUGCACAAUUGUUCAAGCCUGUACUGUGUAAGAAACUGCAGGAUUCAGUAUAGUGCUAUAGAAGACAUGGUCGACUUUGGGAAUAUUGACACUGCUGCUAUUCAAGAGGCAAGGUCGUUUCAAAGCAGUUUACAUGGUGGCCAGGAAGUAAAGAGAGGAUCCCUGUGCUGAUUGGCUCUUCUUUCCUUUUAUAUUCCACCUGGUCCCCUACCUUUGGGAUUGUGCUGCCUGCAUUCACAUGGGUCUUCCUACCUUUGUUAAACCUCUGGAAACUCCCUUGCAGAUACACCCAAUGGUCUGAUUUACUAAUCAAGGUGAUUCUCCAUCCAACCAAGUUAACAAUUAAGAUUAACCAUCUCACAAAUCUGUUGGCAUAAAUGAGAGAAGUGGUGACAUAAAAGAUGAAGAAACCUCAGAGAAUGAUACCAGCAAAAACCACAUUAAAGGAGGCAUUAAAAGCACAAAGGAUAAAAUUUUGGUAGCUCAUCCAAAUUCAGGAGUAGGGUAAUUUGACAAGACACAGAAAAGAUGCUUUCUGUAAGUAAUAUCACAGAAAAGUCAGUACUGUUCACGGAUUCUUAAUAAAUUACAAAGACAAUACUUGCCAGUUUCUAAUAUUUAGAAUUAUAGUGUACUAAAUCAUGUAUGUUGUUAAAAAUUUUUUUAAAUAUAUUUGUAACCAACAAGUGUUAGUUUUGUGAAAAAUUUUAAGAUCAUAGAACAAUCCUUUUCCUGUAGGUAAAGAUUGCUGCUAGGUGCCAGUGGCUCACACCUGUAAUCCUAGCUAUUCAGGAGGCAGACAUCAGGUGGAUCGCAGUUCAAAUAGUUGGUGAGAACCUAUGUCAAAAAUACCUAACACAAAAAGGGCUGGCAGAGUGGCUCAAGUGGUACAGCACCUGCCUAGCAAGCAUGAAGAACUGAGUUCAAACCCCAGUACUGCCAAAACAAAAGAUUGCCCUGUGGUUUCUGCUUAUGUGGUCAAUGCUAGGACUGCCUGCAUUCAAAACAAGAUAGGGAAUCUUCAUCUUUUUUUAACCAAAUGUGAAACAUCCAUGAAUUGUCUUUAGAACAGUUAUAAUUUUACUUUUCAUACUGCUUUAUGUUACUGA